This 293-nucleotide ribosomal RNA is filed under the name uncultured bacterium. RNAcentral describes it as "partial 16S ribosomal RNA". It matches the Rfam family "Bacterial small subunit ribosomal RNA", at positions 335 to 644 of the family's 1533-position model. The record is from RNAcentral.
CGUGCCUACGGGACGCAGCAGUGGGGAAUAUUGCACAAUGGGGGAAACCCUGAUGCAGCGACGCCGCGUGAGUGAAGAAGUAAUUCGUUAUGUAAAGCUCUAUCAGCAGGGAAGAAAAUGACGGUACCUGAGUAAGAAGCCCCGGCUAACUACGUGCCAGCAGCCGCGGUAAUACGUAGGGGGCAAGCGUUAUCCGGAUUUACUGGGUGUAAAGGGAGCGUAGACGGCCAGACACGUCAGAAGUGAAAGCCCAGGGCUCAACCCUGGGACUGCUUUUGAAACUGCCGGGCUGG